Molecule: unclassified non-coding RNA, 675 nt
Filed under: Hevea brasiliensis (rubber tree)
Lineage: Eukaryota; Viridiplantae; Streptophyta; Magnoliopsida; Malpighiales; Euphorbiaceae
Source: RNAcentral
CAAACACAUAAACUAACGACUCGAGGACUUGGUAUUUCUUCGACCUGCAGAGAGGAUACGGCACUUGGCCUCGCAAGAGACUUUAGAAAUGGCGGCAGUGAACCAUUCCAUAAAGGUACUGAAGUGGCAUGUCCAUUAGCAUCCAAGUGGUGGAAACAGGUGAUUUUUCAUAAAUCUCCAUUAUUUCAAUUGUAGUUCAUAUUAUUAAAAGAAGGGGAGAGGGGAACGGUGGCAAUGUUGUCCAGUAAGUGAAAACAAAUUUGUAAAAAUAAUAAAACAUAGAUAAUAAUUUAAAGAAUAUUUUCCUGUUUUUGAUCUAUUGUGCCUGCCUGUGUUUGAUCUUUUGCUUAAUGAAAUCAUAGCAGACAUGUCUGUCCUGGGUUUCUGGUUCCUUAUGAUAGCCAAGUAUGCCUCCAUGUCCCGUCUUUUCACUUGGAGUACAAUUCGCUUCAAUGGCACUUUUCUUUUAGUUUAUGGACUCUCCACCAUGAUAAAAGAAAUAUUUAUCUCCAUGAAUCUUAUUCUUCUGAGAGGAACCCCCCAAUCUCAAAACACUUCUGAAUUGACAACACACCACUUGUAAUUGUGGACUCACAUUUUGCAUAUACAGAUGCAAACACCUGCACAUGUUCUUAUUUUGUCUUUAUGCUUAUUGCAAGUUGCUUGCUGAUAUAU